GACCUGAUCACACAAUGGUUAGUGUAUCUGCAUGCGGUUGUAGUUAUUAUUCAGAAGUAUGUUUAUGCAGAAGAUCCCCGUUCGACUCGGGGUCAGGUCA
This is a non-coding RNA of Mycena latifolia, 100 nucleotides long. NCBI's taxonomy places the organism in Eukaryota, Fungi, Basidiomycota, Agaricomycetes, Agaricales, Mycenaceae. The record is from the annotation of a GenBank genome assembly.